Molecule: ribosomal RNA, 448 nt
Filed under: uncultured bacterium
Lineage: Bacteria
Description: bacterial SSU rRNA
Rfam family: Bacterial small subunit ribosomal RNA
Source: RNAcentral
UGGGGAAUUGUUCGCAAUGGGCGAAAGCCUGACCCAGCAACGCCGCGUGAAGGAUGAAGUAUUUCGGUAUGUAAACUUCGAAAGAAUAGGAAGAAUAAAUGACGGUACUAUUUAUAAGGUCCGGCUAACUACGUGCCAGCAGCCGCGGUAAUACGUAGGGACCAAGCGUUGUUCGGAUUUACUGGGCGUAAAGGGCGCGUAGGCGGCAAUUCAAGUCAUCUGUGAAAUCUCCGGGGCUUAACUCGGAACGGUCAGAUGAUACUGCUUUGCUAGAGUGCAGAAGGGGCAAUCGGAAUUCUUGGUGUAGCGGUGAAAUGCGUAGAUAUCAAGAGGAACACCUGAGGUGAAGACGGGUUGCUGGGCUGACACUGACGCUGAGGCGCGAAAGCCAGGGGAGCAAACGGGAUUAGAUACCCCUGUAGUCCCUGAGCGGGCUGGCAAGGCGCAU